This 792-nucleotide long non-coding RNA is filed under the name Trifolium pratense (red clover). RNAcentral's name for it is "long non-coding RNA (TPRA_LNC013264)". Lineage: Eukaryota; Viridiplantae; Streptophyta; Magnoliopsida; Fabales; Fabaceae. The record is from RNAcentral.
AAGGUUGUCAAAACCGGACCGGACCGGCCGGUUGAACCGGUUGGACCGUGAACCGGUGAGUAAUCCGGUUCGGUUAUGCCUGAAAACCGGACAAGGAAGGAACCGGGAAAAAAACGUUUGAACCGGCGCGGAACCGGAAAAAACCGGUAAAAACCGGUGAACCGGUCGGGUCAGAUCGUUUAGUGGUUCUGCCGGUUUUUUUCGCCAGAAAAAAACGACGCCGUUUUGAUUUUUUUUUUUUUUAACAUAAAGAAAGAAUUGGAAAAGUUUCACUUGUUUUCUUUCUUAAACUGAUUUUGAGUUUCAGAAGAUGAAGGAGAGAAGGGAAUAUUUCAUGAAAUCUCAAAUCAUAUACUAUUGAAAAUACAAACCAGAGAGUUGAAAGGGAAAAACUAUAAUACUAGUUUGUAUUUGUAGAAGAGCAAGAACAAAAAUUAUGAGAGAUCCAUGUAGACAAUGCUUUGCUGGUUGAGAAAUUGACUUUCAGAUCUAGAGUGAAAUAGGAAGGAGGCGCACAACAUACUGCAAAUAAAAUGGAAUACUAGGGUUUUAAUAUUCCAUUAUAUUUUUUUUAGAAACCAAGGCCCAAGAACCCAUAUAUUUGUCUUUUGUAUGGUCCAAGUCCACACACUAUGUGCAAUGUAAUAGUUAUUUUAUACGUACCAUUCAUUUUCUUUCUAAUAAGAUAGGUUUGAAAAUGCAAGAAAAAAUAAAUAUUAUGUUGAGUAUCCUUUUUGUGUGUGUGUGUGAAGUGUGAACAUAUAGAAUAUAUUUUUUUAUUUAAUUGAACCA